UUCACGGCGAUGCUGCGCGUUCCAAACGCCGCGGCGCCGUGUACGGCCGGCGAUGCGCCUUCCGCGUCUCCCGAAUCCGCGAGGCGGAUUCGGCGUGACGACGCGUCGAUCCCAAACUCGCAUGAUCCAGACGCCGCAAUCGGCACUGAGCGAGUGGCGGCAUCGCCGGCCGGAACAAGA
Molecule: small RNA, 180 nt
Filed under: Sinorhizobium meliloti 2011
Lineage: Bacteria; Pseudomonadati; Pseudomonadota; Alphaproteobacteria; Hyphomicrobiales; Rhizobiaceae
Description: putative ncRNA
Source: RNAcentral